This is a non-coding RNA of Anas platyrhynchos (mallard), 1613 nucleotides long. The record is from RefSeq and is a predicted model, not a curated record. Lineage: Eukaryota; Metazoa; Chordata; Aves; Anseriformes; Anatidae.
CUCUCCGGCUUCCUCCCGCCGCCUUCGCGCUUCGGCUGCCGGCUCUUGCUCUCUACCGCCGGGCUGACAUAUUCUCCCGCAUCCCUCGGACGGCUCCCGGGGAGCCCCAAGGGUGUCGGUCGUGACACCCAGCUCCAUUGGCCAGAGAGAAGACACCGGCCCUACGCGCCUGGCGGCCAGGUCAACCCGCAGAGCACGGGUUCGGGAUUCACGACGCCAGAUUUCUUUAUUCCCGGAGCUCUUCCUCCCGUCCCCUCCUCCACCGGACGGGUUACCAGUCUGUGGAGUUGGCCACAAAGCUGGAGUACAUCACAGAUUCAAGAGGGGUCAAGUCUUAGGCUGCAAGAAAAGAAGAAAAAGCAGCCACACAGUUACUAAUCCCUGGUCUUCCUUUGUAUCUGUUAGUUCUUCCAUCUCAAAACUUCGGUGGCUAACUACAGUUUUUGACAUUGCUGUAUCACAUUCUACAGCUGGUCUUUUUGCCCAUUUUCUCAAACCUUCAUUGAAACCAUCAGUGUUACUGUUUUGCUCUGCACCUUGCUGUUGGCUACAUACUUGUGCCGGACUCCUGGGUCCAGCUCUCCAUGUUUUGUCCCUCUGAAGAUGGCUGGUGUUCACUUGCACCAUAGCAAGCUGUUGAAACAACUGUUGAUCUCCAUGCUUGUCAGUCAGUCUUCUGGGUCAACUAUUCAUUUCUGGUAACUCCUCUUUUUUUUUUUUUUUUUUUUUUUUCUUUCUCUCUUUUUUUUUUUUUAACACUUUAAUUCAGAAAGUGAGGGUUCUUACUAAAGUAAUUCAGAAGAGCUUCAUUAGGAUGGCAUACAAGUGAGAUUCAUCUGAAAGCAAAUCUGAGCUGACAGAAUGUUUCAAACAACUGUUUGCAUCAAAGAAAGUAUCUUUGCAGGUUAAGACACAUCUCUGAUAAGACUUUCUAGCAUGCUUAUCUCUCAUCUCCCAAAAUAGUUUAGCCUUUUUUGCUUGAGGCUGGUUUGCAAGAAAAGGUUGAUUUUCUCUACCUUUGUGAAAAUGUGGUAUCUGAGAAUACAAGCAUCUCAGAAGUCCCUCCUGUGAAGGCUGUGGGAGGUCAUGACAAAUCAGUGUUUUCUAACAUUUUUCAUUGCUUGAGCAGGUAAAGGGAAAGAUCUUUUCCCUCACUUACUGUGGUUGCAAAUCAAUAAAUAGUGUUAAGCCCAGUAUUUCAAAAGCUGCAGAGGCAUUUUGAAGGUACAACAGAUACUGACUUACACUGCCUUUUGAAUGCAGUGCUAUGAGUCUUAUGCAUUGACAGCAUUGUAGAGCGAGGGACAUGGGUUCACAUGUAAGCUGCUCCAGCACUGCCUGACCAUCCAACUGGGCAUCACUCUGUCCCCUCAUCAGGUUGCCAGUCUCACAGGAACCACCCAGUUGGGUUGGGUUGCUCUGAAUGAGUGAAAAAAUUACUUUUUCAGUUGGAUCAGGCCCCCAACAUCCCUGCUGCAAAGCAGGCAUUUGGAGUGUAGGGGCAGGGGCACAAGCAGGACCGUACCAUCCACCAGCAGCAACUGCAAAAGCAGAUUAAACCCAUUGCAAAACAGCCAUUAAUGGCACUCUUAUUAAAUCUGUGGCGUAUCUAC